GAAUCCAUCUUUGUCCGGGAUUAAAAUUUUUUUUCACGCUGCUGUCGGUACUGUUUUGCCAACAUUUAUUUACCGUAUAGUGUGAAUGGAUCCACGUUUCGUCAAGGUAGGUAACAGGUUUUUUAUCUGCACCAAGAUUAUUAUUUUCUUUCAUUCGGCGCAGGUAGCGAGCCCUCCAAGCGGCAAUAUCUGGCUUUUGAAUAAGCACCGUACGGGCAUUUUUGCAUUUUUUGAAUUUAUAUCCCAACUGGUCUAUUAAUAUUUUUCUUAAGAAAGAUUUUUCGCCCUUAAAAUUUAAAUCUCUUUUAGCGACUGCCAGGAUUUUCUUUAAUGUAGGGAUUUCUUUUCGGACAGUAUAAAAACUGAUAAUAAUAUUCCUUAUAGCACAGAUGUCGAAAUUAUCAAUUUCAAUUUUCUUGUUGUAUCGCUUUCGCUUCUUACCCGGUGUUGACAAUUUUAUCUCCCUGCUUGGAUUGUCGUUGCUCGUACUUGGGCUAGUACUCGAUGAAGCAGUCGGCGGUGCAUGACGUGAUUCUUUUACCUCCUUUUUUAUAUUCAUCAAAGUUGAUUUUGAUAUUCCAGUUGCAGCACAGGUUCGUUUGACAACUUGAUCUACAGGUAUGGCGAAUUGCUUGUUAGCUUUCUCUAAUUCGAAAAAUUUCAUCACCUUAAGGAUUAAAUUCCUUGCUUCACUGUGAAUAGUUUUUCCCAUAUUUUUGGAGUAGAAGUGCACGUCAAACUAAUAACUAAAUAAAGUCCAAACUUAACCGUAAAUGUCCAAACGUAACAACAACAACAGUUCAAAUAUAACAAUAAGUCCAAACGUAACACAAAAAUGUUCAAAAAUAAAGCAAUGAUAGCACGAAAAUAUCAAGACGCGUAUCGGCAACGAAAUUGCUAACCGUACUGACGCGCCGGGGCGAGCGCGAGGUGGUGAAAGGGGAACGGGGAGGGGCUUCACAUUCCAGCGAGGUCCAGAGAUAAUGUAACCGGGUAGUAGCUGUGAGUAGUUGAGUACGCUCUAUCUAUGGGUACGCUAGCUCCGACCGAACCAAUGAAACAAUCAGUCGUGAACCAAGUGUUUUGGAGAGAAGUGCUUGUGGUUUAUGUGUGUGUGUACGACGACGUCUUUGAACGAUAUGGUUGCGCUUAUGUAUGGUGCGGUCGCUUUUAUGUGACCUUUUCAAUUUGGUCGGCUCAUUAGAGAAUUGCUGACAUAAUCUUGUUUUUGAGAUAACUUUCAUUAGAGCCGUAAUUCAAAGCUGCAAUUAACAGGAAGGAAUUUUCAGGAAUCAUUUUAAUUUGUUUAAAGUAUGCCAUGUUUCUUAAUGUUAUGGGAACUGCGUAUUUGAUCGCUAAAGUACGACCAGUCUAAAAUAAAUCAAAUUUGUUUUUAUCUUCUUAAUGUGUAAAGUAUGAAAUCUAAUAUUUCUGAUGUAAACAAGCGUCGAACCACGGGUAUUUUUUACAGCUGUUUAUUUGGUUAUAAGUGUAUUGGUUUACAUGUAAACCCGCUUCUUCUGAUUUUUGAAACCAUUUAAUUACAUUGGUUUACGUCAACCAAAUCAAAAACUAAUGAUUAAACAAAUUUAAACAAA
Colias croceus (clouded yellow) is the source of this 1598-nucleotide long non-coding RNA. RefSeq lists it as uncharacterized. The record is from RefSeq and is a predicted model, not a curated record. The transcript has 2 exons. NCBI's taxonomy places the organism in Eukaryota, Metazoa, Arthropoda, Insecta, Lepidoptera, Pieridae.